UAGGGAAUAUUGGACAAUGGGUGAGAGCCUGAUCCAGCCAUGCCGCGUGCAGGAUGACGGUCCUAUGGAUUGUAAACUGCUUUUGUACAGGAAGAAACAGUUCUACGUGUAGAACCUUGACGGUACUGUAAGAAUAAGGAUCGGCUAACUCCGUGCCAGCAGCCGCGGUAAUACGGAGGAUCCAAGCGUUAUCCGGAAUCAUUGGGUUUAAAGGGUCCGUAGGCGGUUAGAUAAGUCAGUGGUGAAAGCCCAUCGCUCAACGGUGGAACGGCCAUUGAUACUGUCUGACUUGAAUUAUUAGGAAGUAACUAGAAUAUGUAGUGUAGCGGUGAAAUGCUUAGAGAUUACAUGGAAUACCAAUUGCGAAGGCAGGUUACUACUAAUGGAUUGACGCUGAUGGACGAAAGCGUGGGUAGCGAACAGGAUUAGAUACCCCGUAGUCCCUGAGCGGGCUGGCAAGGCGCAU
This 466-nucleotide ribosomal RNA is filed under the name uncultured bacterium. RNAcentral describes it as "bacterial SSU rRNA". It matches the Rfam family "Bacterial small subunit ribosomal RNA", at positions 355 to 825 of the family's 1533-position model. The record is from RNAcentral.